CUCUUUUCAGUCUGAUUGCAUUUUCCCUGUUGACACAUCCUUGAACAAGGACAAUUCUACAUGACCCUGGCAUUGCCACCUACCCAAACCUUUGAUCUGGAAUGCCACAAAUCUAAGAGAUCUUCUAUCUGGUGACAACAGCUCUUUGGAGACAUUGCAAAGUCCUUUUCCAGUUUAAGCUCUGCCUCUGCCAUGUGUUGUAAUCAGCACAGAAUGACAAGGGAUGAGCAGCAGUGUUAGAACAGAUGUGACACACCUGCAGCCUACCACUGCAGCCUGGCCUUUUUGGAGGAAGUCUUCCCUACCCUCUACCAGCCUGGCAACCUGAACACAGAACAUGACCACAUGAGUCCAAAAGACCUGAAGAGAAGUGAACAGAUUUGGGUUUUCUUCCCAAAGAAGAAGAGGUGGGCAGGAGAAACUUCUUCCUGCUUGUGGAUGCAGUUGUGCAAGGAUAUAAUUCCCAAAGCAACAACAGCAGCCACUUUGUGACCACGAGGUAACCAACCCAAAUGGAAGCCAAUGUGGUAAGGAAGGCAGAACAAAAUUUGUUUAAUACAGAUUUUUAAUGAUCUUAUUAAGCUCUUCAAACCAAGCUUGAAACUACCUUCCUCAGAAUGAAAAAAACAAAAACAACUGGGAAUUCUGUAUCCGAGAUGCUUGUAGCCCGCUUUUCUAGCAUAGGGUACAUUCACUCCAGCUGGUUUACCUCUUGCUAUCAAACUACAUAGGGCCUUUGUUGGUUGUUUGGAUUUCCUCUCAGUGUUGUGCAGACCAACAAAAUUUGGGGGUCUAUUAAAGUAAAUAUGCUUUAAAAUUA
Molecule: long non-coding RNA, 820 nt
Organism: Pan troglodytes (chimpanzee)
Lineage: Eukaryota; Metazoa; Chordata; Mammalia; Primates; Hominidae
Exons: 2
Source: RefSeq, a predicted model, not a curated record